This 551-nucleotide ribosomal RNA is filed under the name uncultured bacterium. Its description in RNAcentral is "bacterial SSU rRNA". It matches the Rfam family "Bacterial small subunit ribosomal RNA", at positions 355 to 896 of the family's 1533-position model. The record is from RNAcentral.
UAGGGAAUCUUCGGCAAUGGACGGAAGUCUGACCGAGCAACGCCGCGUGAGUGAAGAAGGUUUUCGGAUCGUAAAGCUCUGUUGUAAGAGAAGAACGAGUGUGAGAGUGGAAAGUUCACACUGUGACGGUAUCUUACCAGAAAGGGACGGCUAACUACGUGCCAGCAGCCGCGGUAAUACGUAGGUCCCGAGCGUUGUCCGGAUUUAUUGGGCGUAAAGCGAGCGCAGGCGGUUAGAUAAGUCUGAAGUUAAAGGCUGUGGCUUAACCAUAGUAGGCUUUGGAAACUGUUUAACUUGAGUGCAAGAGGGGAGAGUGGAAUUCCAUGUGUAGCGGUGAAAUGCGUAGAUAUAUGGAGGAACACCGGUGGCGAAAGCGGCUCUCUGGCUUGUAACUGACGCUGAGGCUCGAAAGCGUGGAGAGCAAACAGGAUUAGAUACCCUGGUUAUUCCACGCUGUAAACGAUGAGUGCUAGGUGUUAGACCCUUUCCGGGGUUUAGUGCCGUAGCUAACGCAUUAAGCACUCCGCCUGGGGAGUACGACCGCAAGGUUG